Dromaius novaehollandiae (emu) is the source of this 1285-nucleotide long non-coding RNA. The record is from Ensembl. NCBI's taxonomy places the organism in Eukaryota, Metazoa, Chordata, Aves, Casuariiformes, Dromaiidae.
GUGCAGGGUUAAAAUGUGAUAUACAAACUCUUAACCAAGUAACAAUUGUUCAGGAAGAGCAGUGUCAAUGUACAUGCUACACAUUCAGGUUUAUUUUCUUCACCUUCAAGAUCUUUGCCAGUCUCCUCAGUCCACAAUGCACAGAUGAUGAUUCUCCCAUCCCCUCAGCUUCGAGUACUAGCUUCCAUUAUCCAUGAUGCUGCCAAAAAGCUGGGCAACAGCUAGGGCUGAAAUUCUACAAAGACUUAGAUAUAAUGGUUAUUCGUCUACGGAGAAUGACACCUGGGUAUAUAAGGUUAUUGCAGACUCAAGCUGCAGGAAAAAUAGUUUUCAACUCAACAGACACACUGCUGCAACGUACAGCCUUGCUACUGGGAAUGUUUGGGAUCAGUAUAUCCAGCUACAGCACACACCAGCUAGCUCAAGAGAAGAGGCUUCCCUUAAGCUGCAUUGGGAUGUGACCCAAGAAAUAAACGCAUAUGUCAGUAGUGCUGAUGAGUGGCUUUUCACUCUCAGUUAUCAGUCUGAAGGUCAUGAGACAGUUUGCAGUCCUGAUUUCCACAUGCAAACUUGAAAAAAUUGAAGAAUCACAGAUUUCUUUGAGAAAGAAAAAAGAAUAAUGACUAACAGAGGCAUUAGAUUUCCAAGUAAGAUGAAUUGUCUGUAAACACAGAUUUCUUUCAUUAUCCAGUGUAUACAUAGAGAGAUUUAAAGGUAUAAAGUAUAGUUAAAAUCAGAGUAGGUAUAAGGAUAUUGGUGGGGGUACCAUGCUCAGUUAAGGCCACCUUGUUACAGCUUUUGCAAAUAGACUCUUAUACAAAGACUUGUUUUGAAAAGGAAAGUUGGAAGCAGUAUAUUCUUCAUGACAAGUGUUAGAGCAAAUAAUGCAUCUCUGUCUUAGUACUGUUAUAUCUCUAGAUACAUAAAUUUGUUUGUAUUACAGGAUUUGUGCAUUCUGUCUUUUAGUGUUGAGUCUUAAACAUUUCAUGCCUUUUGUGUAGAAAUGUUCAUGCAUUGUAGCAUAAUCUUACAUCCUUAUAUAACAGCAGAAAUGGCUGGAGACUACACCCUAAGUAUGUUGUUGGAAAGGAGCCUUGACACCAAACCAGAUACCUUGGCGUUCUGUACAGAAACUCUCUACUCUGGAAAGAACCAGUAAAAAUAUUGGAUGUUUUUUUGUUGCGGAGUUCAACAUCUGUUCACAUUUCUCUGCAAAACUCACUCAUCCCAUAACACACAUUCUGAUUAAAAUAAAAAAAGAGAUUGACCUUUUUUCUCUCCUUUC